This 346-nucleotide ribosomal RNA is filed under the name Parashewanella curva. RNAcentral's name for it is "bacterial LSU rRNA". It matches the Rfam family "Bacterial large subunit ribosomal RNA", at positions 2606 to 2925 of the family's 2925-position model. The record is from RNAcentral. Lineage: Bacteria; Pseudomonadati; Pseudomonadota; Gammaproteobacteria; Alteromonadales; Shewanellaceae.
UGGGUUCAGAACGUCGUGAGACAGUUCGGUCCCUAUCUGCCGUGGGCGUUGGAUGAUUGAAGGGAGCUGCUCCUAGUACGAGAGGACCGGAGUGGACGAACCGCUGGUGUUCGGGUUGUGUUGCCAAAUGCAUUGCCCGGUAGCUACGUUCGGAAUCGAUAACCGCUGAAAGCAUCUAAGCGGGAAGCGAGCCCUGAGAUGAGUCAUCCCUAGGACUUUAAGUCCUCUAAAGAGCCGUCCGAGACCAGGACGUUGAUAGGCAGGGUGUGUAAGCGUUGUGAGGCGUUGAGCUAACCUGUACUAAUGACUCGUGAGGCUUAACCAUACAACCCUAAUGGGUUUUAUA